RNAcentral lists this ribosomal RNA (492 nucleotides) under uncultured bacterium. RNAcentral's name for it is "partial 16S ribosomal RNA". It matches the Rfam family "Bacterial small subunit ribosomal RNA", at positions 28 to 507 of the family's 1533-position model. The record is from RNAcentral.
GAUGAACGCUAGCUACAGGCCUAACACAUGCCAGUCGAGGGGAAACGACAUCGAAAGCUUGCUUUUGAUGGGCGUCGACCGGCGCACGGGUGAGUAACGCGUAUCCAACCUGCCCAUCACUUGGGAAUAACCUUGCGAAAGUAAGACUAAUACCCAAUGAUAUCCCACGAAGACAUCUGAAUGGGAUUAAAGAUUUAUCGGUGAUGGAUGGGGAUGCGUCUGAUUAGCUUGUUGGCGGGGUAACGGCCCACCAAGGCAACGAUCAGUAGGGGUUCUGAGAGGAAGGUCCCCCACAUUGGAACUGAGACACGGUCCAAACUCCUACGGGAGGCAGCAGUGAGGAAUAUUGGUCAAUGGGCGAGAGCCUGAACCAGCCAAGUAGCGUGCAGGAUGACGGCCCUAUGGGUUGUAAACUGCUUUUAGAAGGGAAUAAAGUGGGUCUCGUGAGACUUUUUGCAUGUACCUUAUGAAUAAGGACCGGCUAAUUCCGUG